RNAcentral lists this transfer RNA (69 nucleotides) under Pharomachrus auriceps. RNAcentral's name for it is "tRNA-Arg". The record is from RNAcentral. Lineage: Eukaryota; Metazoa; Chordata; Aves; Trogoniformes; Trogonidae.
AGAAAGUUAGUCUAACCAAGACAGUUGAUUUCGACUCAACAAACCAUAGCUCACAUCUAUGACUUUCUC